GGAAAUUCUAGGUCCGCCAUUGACGCCUAUGGGUAGAGACAAGGUUUAUAUGUCCCAGCCCUCUCGGAGGAAGUCGUCACGUGUAGAAUUAUAUCUACACAUAAUACAGCGUGUGUUUGUACGUACAACAGCGAGAAUGGAAGCAGAAGAAACUUGCUGUGAAAACGGAAAUGGCUGCUGAAUGUGAAGGAAAGCUUAUUUUGGGAUAUUUGCAGGUACUUAGCAGAAAUGACUGUCAGGCGUCCUUACUGGUAGAAGAAAUCUGCCACUUGACCAGCAUCACUGUCCAGGUCAGCGGUCACCUCCUUACCUCUAGGCCACUCUCACAGGGGGGUUCUGAC
Ostrea edulis (European flat oyster) is the source of this 341-nucleotide long non-coding RNA. RefSeq lists it as uncharacterized. NCBI's taxonomy places the organism in Eukaryota, Metazoa, Mollusca, Bivalvia, Ostreida, Ostreidae. The transcript has 3 exons. The record is from RefSeq and is a predicted model, not a curated record.